Molecule: ribosomal RNA, 494 nt
Filed under: uncultured bacterium
Lineage: Bacteria
Description: partial 16S ribosomal RNA
Rfam family: Bacterial small subunit ribosomal RNA
Source: RNAcentral
GACGAACGCUGGCGACGCGCUUAACACAUGCAAGUCGAACGGAAAGGCCUGCUUUCCCUUGUGGAUUGCGGGUACUCGAGUGGCGAACGGGUGAGUAACACGUGAGUGAUCUGCCCCCAACUUGGGUAUAAGCCUGGGAAACUGGGUCUAAUUCCCGAUAGGACUGCAGGGUGGUGCCUGUGGUGGAAAACGAUUUUCUAGUGGUUGGGGAUGAGCUCGCGGCCUAUCAGCUUGUUGGUGGGGUAAUGGCCUACCAAGGCGGCGACGGGUAGCCGGCCGGAGAGGGUGGACGGGCACAUUGGGACUGAGAUACGGCCCAGACUCCUACGGGAGGCAGCAGUGGGGAAUAUUGCACAAUGGGCGGAAGCCUGAUGCAGCGACGCCGCGUGGGGGAUGACGGCCUUCGGGUUGUAAACUCCUUUCGACCGCGAGGAAGCCACCUGGUUGGAAGGGUGGUGACGGUAGUGGUAGAAGAAGCACCGGCUAACUACGUG